GAAGAAGCAUGGCUGCGUGGUUGUGUGCUGUGUUAGUUUGUCAUCGCGUUUUGUGACAGGUUACAGCGAAAGUUAUGUCAGUUUGGGUUACCUUGAGUCGCCGUGAUCAGAGAGGGAGAGAGAGAUAUCUUGUUGUGUUGACAGAACAGUGAAAUUGGGCGCGCAACAAGGCAGAAAGAGCAUGCAUCUGGUUUGUGGCAAGGUGAUUGCUUACUAACAGUGACCCUGGGAAUCGUCAUUGCACUGUUACAUCAGUCAGCACAGAGACUCUGCAGCUGACAGGACGGAAGAUAUGACAGUGUUCCAUUCCUGGCAGCGGAUAGAAUCAUUUUCAUCUGCACAGUAUCCACACCAACACGGAUAUCAUCCCGGGCUCUUUUCAGCGGGAGAAGGGGCCAGUUUCUCAUGGGUGAAGCCACAGGAGCACCAUUCUCACCAACUAGUGCCUCUAAGAGUUCAUAAAUGGAAUAUCCUUGUUCUGGCUGCCCCAGAUACCAGUAUGCAACGUCUUACUUUUGGGAGUGACAUGGAGCGCUUGUCACUUCUCUGCUGGACGCGUCUCCCAGACAGAGAGUCGCUUCGUACAGCCUGUCGCAUGUCAUCUUCUCUGGAAGAGGACCCCAGGGAAGGGAGUUUUGAAAAAUGUAGAUAAUGGAAUUGCGGAUCGUCUGGAUGGAGCGCUGCAGGACUGUUUGCUCCAGAAGAUACCUGUGGUUUGCAACACGACCCCGCCUCCUCAUUUGUGAGGGGUGAUGCGAUCGACCACAAACCCUCCUCCCCUUCGCUCGGGUGAUGGAGUUGUUAAACGCUGAAAUUGAGAGGGCUUGUUUUCGCGUGCUACUUAUAAGCUGGCUUGGAGGAUGCCGUCCAUAACAGAAGGAAGGGAACAGUAACCGUCGAAUUCACGCCAACCAUUUCUCCUGCAAGAUGAGUCUUCAAAGAAAUUCCAAGGGGAAGUGACAGAAAAAGGACUUUGGAAAUAGCCGCGUACUCUUACCCUGAUGAUGAAUGCAAUACUUUUUUUCGAAACAUAAGUGAACCCUUACCAUAACACACGACGUAGCAUAACAGAAGACAAUAAUCUUCAUUCUGCAUAUAUCAGAUCCCCAUUCUGAAUUUAAAGUAAGGGGAAUCAAACAAGUGGCUAUGCAUAACAAUCAGUAUGCCAGCUACUCACAGUCCUGUCGAGUCUUCACUGAGCUGCACUAUCUGUUAAACACAGGAAACAUAAACUCUGAUUAUGUUAUUUCAGAUCCUUAAGCAGUGGCAAUAAGUACAUAUCUUUAGAGGUGCUUGAAAGUUGUUUUAUGUACCAUGAAAUCUCAUACGACUUAACGUAUUCCACUUUAAAUCUAUUUGCUUCAGAGUGACAAACAUAACAUUCCAGCAUUUCCCUCUUGGUAGAUAAAAUUAUCAUACUGAUUAAAGAUAUAGACAAGACACUUCAAACUUAGUUAAACGCUGAAAUUUACAGAGACAGUGUGUGUGGGGGGGUGUCACACUGACAGUAAAUGGAAUCAGACUUCUCCACUUUCUGAAGGUAGAAUGCUGAGUCUUUCAUCUCGAACUUCAAACAUAAUAUAAGUCAGCCUUCACUCAGUCGGCUAAUCUGCAAUUCAGAAUCUCCCUUUAAGAGAAGUCGUGAUGAGAUGACGUCAGUCAGAGCAGAGACUGAGACAGUAACAAGAGAGGCUCUCCGGUUCAAAUGGCGUUCAAAGAUCUCACCGCACCGCAGACUUCUGACUUCUCAGUGGCAGAAAUCAGGUGCUCUGUGAGAUGUCUGCAGGCCAUCUCGGGUCGUAUUUAAGUGCCUCAUGAAAGGAAAAUAGUCUUGUGGGCGGAUUUCUAUAGUGGAGCGAAUGCAGGCUUGAAUCGGCAACACUUACUUCAUGUGAGGAAUUGAGACAUCUUAACUCCUUGACUUAUGAUCCAUGACUGCAUAGCGUUUGCUCUACUAGUGGUUGCGUUCGUUGGCUGGGAACGUCUUUUGUAUAAAACACUGCAUGUGAAUAUUGUUUGACUUUGACUUUGACUUGUUUGACAUUCUAGUGAGAGUUGUGAGAAAGGACAGACUGUGAAACGACUUGUUCAACAUUAUGUGUUAUAGUUACGUUGAAUUGUAGUUACGUCGUUGAGUAAUAAAAUU
Long non-coding RNA from Cryptotermes secundus, 2146 nucleotides. RefSeq lists it as uncharacterized. The transcript is spliced from 5 exons. The record is from RefSeq and is a predicted model, not a curated record. Lineage: Eukaryota; Metazoa; Arthropoda; Insecta; Blattodea; Kalotermitidae.